GAACUUAAGCAUAUCAAUAAGCGGAGGAAAAGAAACUAACAAGGAUUCCCCUAGUAACUGCGAGUGAAGCGGGAAAAGCUCAAAUUUAAAAUCUGGCGUGCCUCUGGUCGUCCGAGUUGUAGUUUAGAGAAGCGUUUUCUGUGUUGGACCGUGUAUAAGUCUCUUGGAACAGGGCGUCAUAGAGGGUGAGAAUCCCGUCUUUGACACGGACUACCAAUGCUUUGUGAUACGCUCUCAAAGAGUCGAGUUGUUUGGGAAUGCAGCUCAAAAUGGGUGGUAAAUUCCAUCUAAAGCUAAAUAUAGGCGAGAGACCGAUAGCGAACAAGUACCGUGAGGGAAAGAUGAAAAGCACUUUGGAAAGAGAGUUAAACAGUACGUGAAAUUGCUGAAAGGGAAACGCUUGAAGUCAGUCACGUCUGCCAGGACUCAGCCUUGCUUCUGCUUGGUGUACUUUCUGGUUGGAUGGGCCAACAUCGAUUUCGACCGUUGGAGAAAGGCUUUGGGAAUGUGGCACCUUCGGGUGUGUUAUAGCCCUUUGUCGUAUACAAUGGUUGGGAUCGAGGACUGCAGCAUGCCUUCAUGGCCGGGGUUCGCCCACGUACAUGCUUAGGAUGUUGGCAUAAUGGCUUUAAGCGACCCGUCUUGAAACACGGACCAAGGAGUUUAACAUGCCUGCGAGUGUUUGGGUGGAAAACCCAUGCGCGUAAUGAAAGUGAUAGCUGAGAUCCUCUCAUCAGGAGCAUCAGCGCCUGGACUUGAUCUACGGAGACGGUUCUACGGUAGAGCAUGUAUGUUGGGACCCGAAA
RNAcentral lists this ribosomal RNA (806 nucleotides) under uncultured fungus. RNAcentral's name for it is "eukaryotic LSU rRNA". It matches the Rfam family "Eukaryotic large subunit ribosomal RNA", at positions 30 to 821 of the family's 3401-position model. The record is from RNAcentral. Lineage: Eukaryota; Fungi.